RNAcentral lists this ribosomal RNA (250 nucleotides) under uncultured archaeon. RNAcentral's name for it is "partial 16S ribosomal RNA". It matches the Rfam family "Archaeal small subunit ribosomal RNA", at positions 474 to 723 of the family's 1478-position model. The record is from RNAcentral.
CACCGGCGCCACAAGUGGUGAUCAUAUUUAUUGGGUCUAAAGCGUCCGUAGCCUGUUUGGUAAAUUCUUUGUGAAAUUGUUGAGCUUAACUUAACAGCUUGCAAAGAACACUGCCUGACUUGAGACCGGGAGGGGAUAGAGGUAUUCCAUGGGGAGCGGUAAAAUGCAAUAAUCCUUGGAAGACCACCAGUGGCGAAGGCUUCUAUCCAGAACGGGUCUGACGGUGAGGGACGAAGGCUAGGGGAGCAAA